Salvelinus sp. IW2-2015 is the source of this 1420-nucleotide non-coding RNA. The record is from RefSeq and is a predicted model, not a curated record. Lineage: Eukaryota; Metazoa; Chordata; Actinopteri; Salmoniformes; Salmonidae.
UGUGCAAGUACAUCCGCCUUCUUACGGCAACAACAAUUAUGAUUGGACAAUUAACUAGUCGUGUAGUUGUAACAAAGCUUUUGAUUGGAUSAUAUUGACUUGUGAACUUUGAACUUUAGGUCAAACUGUCCUGUUUGAUACAUACAAAUCCAAAUAGAAACGGGACAUUUCUUACGAAUAUAAGCAUGCCGUUUUAGAUUAAAAUAGCCAAUAUUGUUCUGAAGUUUUACUGAGUAUAGACAUCACAAGGAUUUUCUUUCAACAGACGGCAGUUACCGUACAUUGUUCUUCCAGGUCCUGUCGUAUUUCUACAUGCUGCUGUCAGCAUGGCACCGAAAGCAAAACAAAUUAUGUUAAUGUGAAGGACGAGUUUGAAAAUGACAACGAUGAAGGAGAUGAUGAUGUUGAAGAAGAAAAAAAUAAUGGUGAUGGUCCUCAACCGGACGACGAAUUUAAUUUGGACGAGGUUUUGCGUUUGGGUGGAACCCGAGGAGAGUUCAUCAACUACACAGGAGACCCUCUCCAGGACUUCACUCUCAGCAAGUUCUUGGAUCGCUUCUUCUUCAGGAAUCCCAAACAACUGAAGGGCAAACAGAACACAGACGCUUCAGUGAUGCAGCCCAAACAGAAGCUGGCCAUGAACAACAUCCAGAAUUUACCUGGUGAGUGUGUCUUUUGAGUCAUUCUGAAGAAUGAUAAAGGGGUCCCUUUAUUGAGCAGACAUAAGGAAAGUAUUUUUUUCCAUCUCUCAGUGAACUGUGAGGAGUUACUGUCCAAUGAAGAGAGUCAGAUUCCUGUGGAUGAGGUCUUCUAUCGGUUCUUCAAGAAACGAGAGGCGGAAAAGGCGCUGCAUCGGCCACGAGGUGAUGGCGAUAGCGAGAGUGUGGAGGAUGUUUGAGAAGCUGCUCGAUACAUACGAGGGUGACAGUUAUUUCACAGACUUGCCAGUUGAUGAAACAGACCUGGACUUUGCAGGCAAUAUCAAGAUGAAAUCUAAGAAGGGGAAGAAGGGUGGAGAGGAUGACUCUGAUUCAGACCUGGAUGAUGAUCUGGAUGAUGUGUCCCUAGGCAGUUUGGAUGAGGAGGACUUUGGAGAUGAACUGGGGGAGGAGGGAGGAGGGAGGGGCCUUCAUGGACAGCAUUGGGGAGGAUGAUGAGGAAGUUCCAGAACUUGAUGAUGAUAACGCUGAUUCAGAUGAGAUGGAGGUUCCACACAUAAGGCCAGGUUCUAAAAUGAGGAAGGCAUCAGAGGAUCUUGACUUCAGUGGUUCUUUAGGUUCCAAACCAGGGAAGAAAAGGAAAGGGGGACACAGCCAUGUUUGCAUCUGCUGAAGAGUUUGGGUAUAUGUUGGAUGAAAAUGCUGGUUCUAAGUUUGACAACAUCGGCAUGAAUGCUAUGGCCAACAAAGACAAAGCAGGU